GAUUCAACAGAGAAAACAGAUGACCCCCACAGGCUUUUGAAAGAGCCGAAGUCCCCGCACUCCAUGCUCAUAUAGAGAAUGAUCAUAGAAGACAACAACGAAAGGUCUGUAACUGAUUGUUUGCAAGGUGCAAGAUUCGCAGGUGCAGGUGCCCUACCAGGACAGGUAUGCACUGAUCCGUCAGGAGAUUGUUGGUCAGAUAAAGCAGCUGCAGCAUACUCAAACUCUCCUCUCCAGUGCAGGCGGAUGGUAAAGACUCCAGACUAUUUGCAGAUGCAUUCAAGUAUCUGAGACUGACAGAACACACACAGAUCAUCACCUCCUUUAAGUUUAUUUGCUGCCUUCCUAUAUAGAAACCAUCAUGUCACCUCAGUAUGGAAUGCUGCCAUUCUAAGCUUCCAAAUGG
Long non-coding RNA from Homo sapiens (human), 406 nucleotides. NCBI's taxonomy places the organism in Eukaryota, Metazoa, Chordata, Mammalia, Primates, Hominidae. The record is from Ensembl.